Molecule: transfer RNA, 67 nt
Filed under: Leconectes striatellus
Lineage: Eukaryota; Metazoa; Arthropoda; Insecta; Coleoptera; Dytiscidae
Description: tRNA-Phe
Source: RNAcentral
AUUUAAAUAGCUUAAUAAAGAGUACAAUAUUGAAGAUAUUGGGGUGAUUGUUUUAAAUCUUUAAAUA